Molecule: long non-coding RNA, 1268 nt
Organism: Pseudopipra pipra
Lineage: Eukaryota; Metazoa; Chordata; Aves; Passeriformes; Pipridae
Exons: 4
Source: RefSeq, a predicted model, not a curated record
AUGUUGCAACACCACUGGUGACUUGCAGAGUGUCUGAAAGACAGUACUUCCUCUGGGUCAGGGUGGGGUCGGUGAGAGGAAUACUUUGAUAAACCUGGAGCGCAAAUUCAAAUGGCUGAAAUACAUCUUCUGCCCAGGAUGAACAACAGAGAUGUCAGAGAAGUGAGCAAAUGCAGGCAUGAGCUUUCACAACUUUUGUAAGCAUCGUAGGCUUGUAUCUUAAUUUUGUACUGGGAUUUGUAAUGUCGUCAAGGGAGGCUAAUGCACUGAGAUGACUCUAAUUUGUGUGCUAUUCUUUAAAGAAACAGGAUGUUUGAGUACUCACGGAUAAAAUAUUUUAUGUUUAAUCUGGACUGGCUCUUUGACAAAUUUUGUUGGCUGGACUGUUAUGCUAGUGCUGUGUUAACACUAUAAAAAUGGGCAGAGGAUUUUUUUCUGUUUGUAAGGAAUAGGUAAUAUUCUGACCAAAUUCCAGGCAAUUAGCACUGCUUUUGAGCUCAUUUUGCUUUUGCUUCUCCUGGCAUACAUCAGCAAAAGAGUAGCUUGAUAAGAAAGACAUGCUUGCAAUUUGACACACACACACACAUAGCUUGCCAAGAGAGGUCACUGCAGCAUCCUGGGUGGAUGCAUUCACAAAGGCAUGAGACAACACACUCAGAAGGCUAGUCAGAGGGGACCACUGCCUGCCACGUAGGGUUUGGAUCUUACACAGGACUCUAAACCCCAGAAGUGAAGAAAACUCUGCACUCUCUGAAUCAUGGGAAUGGCCGUAAUAUAAUGAGAAGCUUCUCACACCUUUUCCUUCGAAGAUACAAAGAAGCCCAGCCUGUUUCUAAAGUCCUGUCAUCAGUUUGAAGCAGAUUCAGAAUGAGGAAGAUGCUUGAGUUCAAGAACUGGGAAUGGAAAGAAGAACAGAUUAGAAGUUACAAGAGUUGAAGGAAAUUCUGUCACAUCUUUGUCUUCGAGCAGAAGGCUAUCAAACAAAGCUGCCCAACCUUACACUCAUCCAUCAUCCUUGAGUUAUUAAGAAAAUAGCUGCAGAACAUUUACAAGUGGAUGGGAUGGAUUGCUGGCUGCUUUUCAAGAACACAGUCAAUGCUACAAAAACUUUGCAAGAUGGCAAAUGUUCUCAUGUUUCCUGUUCCUUGCUCUGCUACGACCUGCUAGAAGGAAUGGUUUCUUGAAUUUUGGGGUGACUAAUCUAGGUUGAUGCUAAAACUGUUAAUCGUUUGUGUCUAAUACCAGAGUAUAAUUUUAUCUGAGUAGAA